GACGAACGCUGGCGGCGUGCUUAACACAUGCAAGUCGAACGGUGAAGCGCCUUCCUUUUUGGUGGGUGUGGAUGAGUGGCGAACGGGUGAGUAACACGUGAGUAACCUGCCCCCUUCUUCUGGAUAACCGCAUGAAAGUGUGGCUAAUACGGGAUAUUCUGGGUCUGUCGCAUGAUGGGUCUGGGAAAGAUAUUGUUUCGGUGGGGGAUGGGCUCGCGGCCUAUCAGCUUGUUGGUGGGGUGAUGGCCUACCAAGGCGGUGACGGGUAGCCGGCCUGAGAGGGUGGACGGUCACACUGAGACUGAGACACGGCCCAGACUCCUACGGGAGGCAGCAGUGGGGAAUAUUGCACAAUGGGCGCAAGCCUGAUGCAGCGACGCCGCGUGAGGGAUGGAGGCCUUCGGGUUGUGAACCUCUUUCGCCAGUGAAGCAGGCCUGCCUCGUUUGUGGGUGGGUUGACGGUAGCUGGAGAAGAAGCGCCGGCUAACUACGUG
Molecule: ribosomal RNA, 494 nt
Filed under: uncultured bacterium
Lineage: Bacteria
Description: partial 16S ribosomal RNA
Rfam family: Bacterial small subunit ribosomal RNA
Source: RNAcentral